GGGACGUCUGAGCGCGGAGCGGAGGCGAGGCCGAGCGCUAAUCCCCAGGCUCUCGGGGGAAUAGGACUAUAAGGAAGGCAGGUGGAAAUCUAGGUGCUGAGAGUGAGCGUGACCACGGACACACAACCAGCAAGGAAAUGGGGACCUCAGUCUUACCGUGGCAGAAAACAGUCCUGUCCCAGCCGUGACAGCUUGGAAGAUGACCCUGAGGCCCAGAGGAGAGUGUAGGCUCGUUGGCAUGUUGGCCUCAGCCUUAAGAGACCUUGAGCAGGGAAUCCAGCCAAGCCACGCCCAGACUUCUCACCUCCAGAACAGUAAGAUAAGAGGUCCCAGGCAUGCCGCUGGACGACUGGGGACACACAGAGACAAGUAGGACACAGUGUCCACCCUCCAGAAACGGACGAACGUGUGGGAGCAGCCGAGGGAUGGACACACAUACGUAAAUGACUAUCGCAAAGCUGUAGUGAAAAAUGAGGUUAUCCCGGUGCAAAGGAAGGGGUGGGGGAAACACUGGAUCCUUGAGUGUGAGAGAGAGACAGAGACGUAGUGCCCACCAGAGAGCAAGAGUCACCACAUCACCGAUUGAUACGUGCCCUCUUUGUUGAAACCGAAGGAUUAACUUGGUAAACAAAUGAACGAGGUAGUUGAAUUUCCGGUGUGGGAGACAGAAGGUCACACGCUUCCUGGAAAGUCUACGUGGAGAGACGAGGGCCGUGUGGAGGCCCCUCCAAGGACUGUGAAUUUUAUCCUAGGAGGCACUGAGGAUUUAAUAAAAUGCCAUAACCAGGGAAAUUGUACGGUGACAUAUGGAAAGUUCCAAAGUGAUAUUUGAAAACAACCAACUAUAUCUGUAGCACCCAUAAAGUGAUACUACAGUGUCCCCGCGGGAUUUUAUGUUCGUUCAAUUCUGCAAAGACUGCUUUUUCCUUGUGAGUGUGCAAAUCCAUUCACCAGGAAAAUUGGGUUAAGAUAAUCAGAUUACAGAAAUACCGUUCCCAGACAGAGCGACCCUUGUGGUUCUGAACAUGUGUGUUUGUUUAACAGCUCACACCAUACAUUCGAGCUAUCGUUCUAUUUGUGGGAGAACUGAGUCCAUUUAUCUCUUAGAAAAAUUAAAUCAUGUUCCCAAUAAAGACAAAAUUAAUAAGUAGCAAAAUUAAUUAAUAUACAGGGUAGUAGGAAAUGCUUAUUAGCUUGUAGCAUGUGAGAGGGCAGUUUUUCAGUUGCUACUACUCAGGGGGCUGUGUGUGUAGGAAAGUAGGAAAAAGGGGGGGCUAUCAGCAUGAGCAAGGAGAAAACAUUUUAUCGAUGCAUCAUCUUUAACAGUAAAAAUUGAUGAUGCUAUACUCAGAAAAUGAAGAGUAGUGUGUUUGGGGCGCCUGGGCGGCUUGGUGCGUUGAGUGUCCUACUUUGGCUCAGGUUAUGAUCUCAUAGUUCACAGGUUCGAGCCCCACGUCAGGCUCUUGGCUGUCAGCACAGAGCCCACUUUGGAUCCUGUCUCCCUCUCUCUUUCUGCCCCUCCCCCAUUUGUGCACGUGUGUGUGUGUGUGUGUGUGUGUGCUCUCUCUCUCUCUCAAAAGUAAAAAAAAGAGUAGUGUGAUUAAUCAAAAUUCCCUGAAUACUAUGCUGUAUCUCGCCAGAUAGACUUAUCUGUACAUUCAAUGCAAUUCCAACAAUUUUCAGGGUAAAAGUUGAUGAGUUGAUCUUAAAAUUCAUAUGAAACAAAUAUUUCAAGAUUUAAAAUGACCAAAACACAACAAAAACUAUGGUCCUGGACUGUCAACCCUCAAGUGUACUGUAAGGCUAUAAUAAUUAAGCCAAUGUGAUCAUUUCCUUUUUAAAAAUGGGCCAAGGAAAACACAUAGUUUAGAAGCCAAUCCUCAUCUAUGUGGAAAUGUAAUUUAUUAUAAAAGUAGCAUUUCAAAUUAUUGGCGAACUAAUGUUCACAAAUCAGAAGCAAAUUUAUGUAAUACAGAUUUUAAAUAUAUUGUAUAUGUUUAUUCAAAUAUAACAUAUGUAUAUGUAUAUGAUGUUUUCCCCACUUUUCAAUAUGCUGAAAUAUACAUAACAUAAAGUUUACUGUGUAACCAUUUCUCAAUGUAUAGUUUGGUGACAUUAAGUCCACUCACGUUGUGCGAAAAUCCCACCAUCCCUCUCUAUUACUUUUCCAUAACUGAUACUCUGUCCCCAUUAUACAGUAGCUGACUUCUCCCCUCCCCCAGCCCCUGGGAACCCCCAUCCUCCUUUCUGUAUGUAUGCCUUUGACUUCUCUGGGUACGUCGUUUAAGAGCAAUUCUACAGUAUUUGUCCUGUGACUGGCUUAUUUCACUUUGCGUAGUGUCCUCAAGGUUCCAUGCCGUAGCAUGUAUCACAACUUUCUUCCUUAAGGCUGAAUCAUAUUCCAUUGUGUGUAUAUAAUCACAUUUUGUUUACGCAUGCAUCUCUUGAUGGAUACUCAGGUGGCUUCUCUCUUUUGGCUCUUGUAAGACCACUGUGCUUAUUGGUGCACAAAUACGUAUUUGAGUCUCUGCUUUCAAUUCUUUGGGGUACAGAACCAGCAGGGAACUUGCUGGGUGAUAUAGUCAUCCUGUUUCACCACAGAGAAUAUUUUGUAAACAUAUAACACAGAGCUGGGAUCCAUAACAUGCAAAGACUCCCUAAAGGUCAAUAGAAAUACCAAAAUUCCAACACAAAAUGACAAAAACAAAGACAUUCAUCUUUGCUAAUAAAAUUCACUUUUGCCUAUCAAAUUGGCCAAACUUAAGAGAUUGGUAAUACUCCUUCAUGUCGACGUUGUCCUAAGUGGGCUCUCCUAAAUACAAGUAGGUGCGUAAGUUGUUCAUCUUUUGUA
Prionailurus viverrinus (fishing cat) is the source of this 2851-nucleotide long non-coding RNA. RefSeq lists it as uncharacterized. The transcript has 3 exons. Lineage: Eukaryota; Metazoa; Chordata; Mammalia; Carnivora; Felidae. The record is from RefSeq and is a predicted model, not a curated record.